GAGAAGCUUCUUCGGAAGUGGACAGUGGCAGACGGGUGAGUAACGCGUGGGAAUCUGCCCAGAGGUUCGGGACAACCAUUGGAAACGAUGGCUAAUACCGGAUAAGCCCGCAAGGGGAAAGAUUUAUCGCCUUUGGAUGAGCCCGCGUAAGAUUAGCUAGUUGGUGGGGUAAAAGCCUACCAAGGCUACGAUCUUUAGCUGGUCUGAGAGGAUGAUCAGCCACAUUGGGACUGAGACACGGCCCAGACUCCUACGGGAGGCAGCAGUGGGGAAUAUUGCGCAAUGGGGGAAACCCUGACGCAGCCAUGCCGCGUGAGUGACGAAGGCCUUAGGGUUGUAAAGCUCUUUCGCUAGGGAAGAUAAUGACGGUACCUAGUAAAGAAGCCCCGGCUAACUCCGUGCCAGCAGCCGCGGUAAUACGGAGGGGGCUAGCGUUGUUCGGAAUCACAGGGCGUAAAGCGCGCGUAGGCGGACUGAUUAUUUGGGGGUGAAAGCCCGGAGCU
Molecule: ribosomal RNA, 503 nt
Filed under: uncultured marine bacterium
Lineage: Bacteria
Description: bacterial SSU rRNA
Rfam family: Bacterial small subunit ribosomal RNA
Source: RNAcentral